RNAcentral lists this ribosomal RNA (123 nucleotides) under Spirosphaera sp. RNAcentral describes it as "partial small subunit ribosomal RNA". It matches the Rfam family "Eukaryotic small subunit ribosomal RNA", at positions 1659 to 1779 of the family's 1831-position model. The record is from RNAcentral. Lineage: Eukaryota; Fungi; Ascomycota; Leotiomycetes; Helotiales.
UUUGUACACACCGCCCGUCGCUACUACCGAUUGAACGGCUCAGCAAGGCCUUCGGACUGGCUCAGAGAGGUUGGCAACGACCAUUCCGAGCCGGAAAGUUGGUCAAACUUGGUCGUUUAGAGG